GGCGCCGUGGCUUAGUUGGUUAAAGCGCCUGUCUAGUAAACAGGAGAUCGGGGGUUCGAAUCCCCCCGGUGCCU
This is a non-coding RNA of Pediculus humanus corporis (human body louse), 74 nucleotides long. Lineage: Eukaryota; Metazoa; Arthropoda; Insecta; Psocodea; Pediculidae. The record is from Rfam.